This 5405-nucleotide long non-coding RNA is filed under the name Marmota monax (woodchuck). The stretch from base 2664 to 2734 matches the Rfam family "tRNA". Lineage: Eukaryota; Metazoa; Chordata; Mammalia; Rodentia; Sciuridae. The record is from RNAcentral.
UGUAUACUUAUUUUAGAAAAACCUCAUUUUAUAGCCAACUAGUAAAAUGUUAUAUAUACAACUCUAACUUGGAACUUUGUAUUUAGAGCAGUUGAACAACAGAUGGAUGAAAAUUCAGUCCCAGUGGUUAUGCUGUCCAAAAUUCAAGAAGAAACUUGUCAUCUGAAACUCACACACUUAGAGUAUUUCAGCCUUUGGUAUCUAAUGUUAACCCUGGAGUCACAAUCAAAAGAUAACCGAAAGAAUCACCAAAAUAUCUGGUUAAAGCCUGCUUCAGAAAUGUAAGUGGUCCAUGUGAGUAAAGUGUCAUUAAUUUGUAUUAGCUUGUGUGGGAUGUGGAAUUCAUGACACAUACAGGUUAUAUUGCAUGUUAAAGAUAUGUGAUUUCAUUUGUUCAUGAAAACUCCAGAUGUCAAUGAGUUGUUCCUAAGUAGAACAUCAUUUCUGCAUGUGCUAUGUGCUGUAAUCAUUGUUAGUUUUCUGUGUAUAUGAAUAGAUACUAAUAUCAACUCUGUUUUUGGGUUGGGGAUACUGAGAUUAAACACAAGGCCUCCCAUGUGCUAGGUGGCAAGUGCUCUACCACUGAGGUACACCUCUAGCACAGUCAUAUAUUUUCAAUAGCACACACCUGUAAUCCCAGGAACUUGGUUGGCCAAAGCAGGACACCAAGUUCAAGACUGGCCCUAAGCAACUUAGCAAGGCCCUACCUCAAAAUAAAAGAAUCAAAAGGAGUGGGGAUGGGCUGGGGUUGUGGCUCAGGGGUAGAAUGCUUGCUUAGCAUGUGUGAGGUUGUGGAUUCCAUCCUCAGCACCACAUAAAGAUAAAUAAAUAAGAUAUUGUAUCCAUCUACAACUACAAAAAAUAUUUUUUAAAAAAAGGGAGUGGGGAUGUAGCUCAGUGGUAAAGCACCCCUGGGUUCAAUCCUCAGUACCAAAAAAUAAAUACAAAUUUAAAAAAAAUUAUGAUUUAUUUAUUUAUGCCUCAUUUCCAGACUUUUUAUAUUUUAUUUAGAAAUAGGGUCUCACUAAGUUGCUUAUAUCUAUGUUGCUUAGGCUGGCUUUGAACUUGAGAUCUUUUUUGCUUCAGCCUCCUGUGUUAUGAGAUUAUAUAUUUGUGAUAUCUGGAAAGAAAUUUUUAAAAUGAUUUGUUAAUUCUUUUUCAUCAGUGAUAUCCUUAGAAACUUGAGUAUGUCUUAAGGUGAAUUGGUAGAGUGCAUACUGCUUUUUUACUUUUUUUGUUUUUGUUUUUAGACUGGGUCUCACCAUAUUACCUCGGCCAGCCUUGAUCUCUCAAUCCUCUUGCCCCUGCCUUCUGAGUACCUGGGAUUAUGGGCCUGAGACACCAUGUUCUGUUUAUUUAAGUUUUCAAAAAGUAGUGUUUUAAAAAUGUAUAUUUUCUAUUUUGAGACAGAUUCACAUUUUCUGAAGAUCUAUCUCAUUUUCCUUGUGGCAUCCACUUAUGAAAGAUAAAUUAUAGGAGGGUGGGGCUGUAGCUCAGUGGCAGAGCACUUGCCUAGCAUGUGUGGGGCCCUGGGUUUGAUCCUUAGCACCACAUAAAAAAUGAAUACAUAAAAUAAAGGUAUUAUGUCCAACUACAACUAAAAGAUAAAUAUUAAAAAAAGAUAAAUUAUUAGGAUUUUUAUACCUUCACAUAGUAUUUUUCUGUAAGUAAAAUUUAGUUGCAUUAAUUCCAGUUUUGUUUUACUAGAAUAAGGUGAUAAUAGUGUGACUUUAGAAAUAAUUGGAUCUCUGUGUCCCUAAUAUUAGGCUUUAAUUUAGAAAACAUUACAGUGGAGAAAGUUCAUGUUGUAGGUUAUAUAACAAAUAUGUCAAGCACACAUGCCAACAAUUUGCCUCUGAGAUUGUAUAGUAUUUAAUAGUAAUGUCUGAGAGGUUGUAAAUGCUGAAUACUUAUUUAUUAGAAGUAGUGUAAUUAUGACAACUUGCUUGUCAUUUUAUAUUUAUUUUGGGUACUGGGGAUUGAACCCAGGAGUUCUUAACUACUGAGCCACAUUCCCAGUCCCCCCUCCCCCACUUUCUUUCUUUCUUUUUUUUUUUUAUUUUUAUUUUUGAGACAGGGUCUUACAAAGUUGCUGAGGCUGGUCUUGAACUUGGGAUCCUCCUGUCUCAGCUUCUUGAGUCACUGGAAUUACAGGUGUGCACCACCAUGCCCGGUACUUAUCAUUAUUUUAAUAAUAGUAUUUUAAAUCCUUUUAUAAACACUAAAGAAAUAGGUUAUUCUUUUCUUCACAUCUAGUUUAGGAGAUUAUUAUGGUUUGUCUUCUGUAAUGUUACAUUUAUCAGCACAGGAUGUGGGGGUAUUGAUCUAUCCAUCAAGGAUCCAUGUGCCAAUAAACACCCUGUUCAGAUAUCCCAGACUGUGGGUGGAACAAGGAGAGGUGAUUGAUCACUUAGAAACAAAUGGGGCUGGGUGUAUAUCUCAGUGGCUAGAGUGCUUGCCUGGCAUGCACAAGGCCCUGGGUUCAAUCCCCAGCACCACAAAAACAAAACAAAAAAAACAAAAAGAAGCGGGUUGGGGUUGUGGCUCAGUGGUAGAGCCCUUGCCUAGCACGUGUGCAGCACUGGGUUUGAUCCUCAGCAUCAUAUAAAAAGUAAACCAAUGAAAUGAAGUUAGUUAAAAAAAAAUAAAUAAAUGGAAGGGCUGGGGAGAUAGCUCAUUGGUAAAGCACUUGCCUGGCAUGCAUGAGGCCCUGGGUUCAAUCCCCAUCACCACAUAAACAAUAAACAACAAAAAAGGUUUUUAAAAAAAUGGAGGCAAUGUUUGUUUAGCGUUUCUAUCACUUUAAUGUAGAUUGUGAAAAAUGUAAAAAGGACAGACUCAGCAUUAGUUUUCAGACGCCAAAUGAAGUAAAUUGUAGAAAAAUACAAACAUACUACUUAACCUGAUAUAAAUGGAAGCCUUUUCUUUCUUUUUCUUUCAUAGAGAGGAGAGUGGCAACUGCAUUGGAAACCUGAUUAGAACAGAACAUGUAAAGAGAGUUUGUGGUGGACAGUAUUUACAUCAUUUCCAGCGUAAAAAUGGUUCUAUGCCUGUCACAAACCUAAUGGCAGGUGACAGAAUUAUUUUAAGUGGAGAAGAGAGAACACUGUUUGCUUUGUCUAGGGGAUAUGUGAAGGAGAUUAACAUGACAACAGUAACUUGUUUAUUAGACAGGUAAUGAAAUAGUACAUUUUUGAUAAUAGCCUUAUUGAUAGGUAUUUCAUGUAUCAUACAAAUCAUGCAUUUAAAGUGUACAAUUUUCAUAUAUUCAAAGAGUCAUAGCUGGGCGCAUUGGUUUAGGCCUCUAAUCCUAGCUACUUGGGAGGAUGAGGCAGGAGGGUCUUAAGUUCCAGGUUAGCCUCAGCAACUUGGCAAGACUCCAUCUCAAAAUUUUAAAAGACUGAGGAUGUUACUUUGUGGUAGAAUGCUUGCCUAGUUCAAUACCCAGUAAUGCCAGGAAAAAAACAAAAAGAGUUGUACAACCAUCACCACAAUCAAUUUCAGAAUAUUUUCAUAACCCCCAAAAGAAAUUUCAGCAGUCACCCGCACCUUUACUUCCCUUCAAUUCCCUCUGCCCAGGCAACUACUAGUUUAUUAUAAAUUGGCCUCUCAUGAACAUUUAAAGUUAAUGUCCUUUUUUUUUUUUUUUUUGGUACUGGGUUUUGAACUCAGGGGCACUCGACCACUGAGCCAUAUCCCCAGUCCUCUUUUGUAUUUUAUGAAGAGACAGGGUCUCACUGAGUUCUUAGUGCCCCACCAUUGCUGAGGCUGGCUUUGAACUUGCAUUCCUCCUGCCUUAGCCUCCUGAGCCACCGGGAUUACAGGUAUGCACCACUGGGCCCAGCUAUUGUGAUCUUAUGUGACUUUUUUUUGUCAAUUAGCAUAUUGAUUUUCAGAUUCAUCUUCAUAUUGUAGCAUGUAUCAGUAUUUCAUUUGUUUUUGUUUUGUUUUUGGAUACUAGGGAUUGAACUCUGGGGCGCUUAAUGACUGAGCCACAUCCCCAGCCCUAUUUUGUAUUUUAUUAGAGAGGGGGGUCUUAUUGAGUUGGUGUUGGGGAUUGAACCCAGGACCUUGUGCAUGCAAGGCAAGCACUCUACCAACUGAGCUAUAUUCCCAUCCCUCUUUUUGAUUUUUUUUUUUUUUUUUUUUGAGACAUGAUCUGUUAAGUUCCUUAGGACCUCACUAAAUUGCUGAGGCUGGUUUUUAACUUGUGAUCUUCCUGUCAGCCUCCAGAGUUGCUGGGGUUACAGAUAUGCACCACCACGACCUGCUUUUACUGAAGGGUUUUAAAGAAUACGUGGUAAUUGGUCUUGCAUUUACUUGUGGGAGAUUUGAAUUAAUUAACAGAGGCAAAAUGAAAGAGAAACCAGGAAGGUAUUGUAGUGACCCAGGUUAGCUGUGAUUGAAGUAGCAUUGACCUGAUAUAGUGACUUUGAUGAACUUGAAAGUAAGUUUGUCAGGGAGUCAGGUGCUGAUUAGGUAUGGGGGCUGAAAAGAGGGUGAGGGGAGAGGAAAGGAUUCAAGUGCUGUUAACUGAGAUCCCACUAAGAGGAGAGGCUCAGGUUCAACAAGAAUGAGGAGUUCCAUUUUAAAUAUAUUGAACUUUUGUGGCCUGGGUUUUAGCCAGGUAAAGGGAUCUUGGUGCCUGCAAAUAUUCAAACCUGAAAUUUGGAUAGGCUAGAAGAUGUUGACCUGGGACCAUAAGGAAAUCCUAAGAGCGAGCAGCACUGUAGGCUAGGGAAGGAAGGGGUUGUAGGCCAUAGCAGGGUUUAAGGAGCAGAUAGAGGAGUGGGAGGAGGAGACCUGUUCUUCAGGCUGGAGGAGGGAGGAGCCAGGUGCUCAGAACCUUCUGGGGAUGGUGAAUUCCUGUUAGAAUGCAGGGUCAAAUGGAUUUUCAACAAAUGUUACAGGUUCCUGGUUCUUAAUUGCUUUGACCUUGAUACCUUGUACCCUCCCUUUCUCUGCUUUCCUACCAAUUAUGUCCUCAUGUUGUCUUUGACUGGCAAGUGUGAAUGAGGGAUUAUGGCCAUUUGUUGUUGUUAUGUUAGCCAUUUUAAUAGUUAUUUUAACUUAUCAACUCUUUUAGCAGAUAGCAGUAUAUCUCUUAUAUAGACCACGGGAAAAUGAAGAACUUUCAUGCAUGUUUGUUGUGCUGUUUUAGGAACUUGUCAGUGCUUGCAGAGUCAACUCUGUUCAGAAUAGACCAGGAAGAAAAAAAUUGUGAUAUAGAUACCCCGUUAGGAAAUCUCUCUAAAUUGAUGGAGAACACUAAUGCCAGGUUUGUAAUGAUGAAUGAAUCUGAAUUUCUCCCCACCUUUCUAAGGAAUAUUACUAAAAGUAUGUAUCGCCUUUUCAGCAAAAAACUUCGAGAUUUAAUCAUUGACUUUCGUGAACCUCAGUUUAUA